GACGAACGCUGGCGGCGUGCUUAACACAUGCAAGUCGAACGGUGAAAGCGGAGCUUGCUCCGCUGGAUCAGUGGCGAACGGGCGAGUAACACGUGGGCAACCUGCCCCUCACUUCGGGAUAACUCCGGGAAACCGGGGCUAAUACCGGAUAUGACCUCCUUGGGCAUCCUUGGAGGUGGAAAGUUUUUCGGUGAGGGAUGGGCCCGCGGCUUAUCAGCUUGUUGGUGAGGUGAUGGCCUACCAAGGCGACGACGGGUAGCCGGCGUGAGAGGGUGACCGGCCACACUGGGAGUGAGAUACGGCACAGACUCCUACGGGAGGCAGCAGUGGGGAAUAUUGCACAAUGGGCGCAAGCCUGAUGCAGCGACGCCGCGUGAGGGAUGACGGCCUUCGGGUUGUAAACCUCUUUCAGCACCGACGAAGCGCAAGUGACGGUAGGUGCAGAAGAAGGACCGGCCAACUACGUGCCAGCCGCCGCGGUAA
Molecule: ribosomal RNA, 483 nt
Filed under: uncultured bacterium
Lineage: Bacteria
Description: partial 16S ribosomal RNA
Rfam family: Bacterial small subunit ribosomal RNA
Source: RNAcentral